AACGAACGCUGGCGGCAUGCCUAACACAUGCAAGUCGAACGAGAGCUUCGGCUCUAGUGGCGCACGGGUGCGUAACGCGUGGGAAUCUGCCCUUGGGUUCGGAAUAACAGUUGGAAACGACUGCUAAUACCGGAUGAAGUCGAUAAGACCAAAGAUUUAUCGCCCGAGGAUGAGCCCGCGUCGGAUUAGCUAGUUGGUGGGGUAAAGGCCUACCAAGGCGACGAUCCGUAGCUGGUCUGAGAGGAUGAUCAGCCACACUGGGACUGAGACACGGCCCAGACUCCCACGGGAGGAAGCAGGGGGGAAUAUUGGAAAAUGGGCGCAAGCCUGAUCAAGCAAUGCCGCGUGAGUGAUGAAGGCCUUAGGGUUGUAAAGCUCUUUUACCCGGGAAGAUAAUGACGGUACCGGAAGAAUAAGCCCCGGCUAACUCCGUGCCAGCCGCCGCGGUAA
RNAcentral lists this ribosomal RNA (450 nucleotides) under uncultured bacterium. RNAcentral's name for it is "partial 16S ribosomal RNA". It matches the Rfam family "Bacterial small subunit ribosomal RNA", at positions 29 to 523 of the family's 1533-position model. The record is from RNAcentral.